UUCACAUCUGCUGACCAGACCCUAAUAGCAGCAGACAUCCUGUAAUGAACCAGUCCUAUUCAAGUAUAAAGGCUAUAUUGUAAUGCUGAUUGGAAUUUUAAAAUAUUUUGCGUUCAAGUGAUUUGCAGAAUCUCAUCUUUUUAAAAUUAUUUUUUGCAAAAGAUCUAAUUUAGUCAAAAAAUUUUAUAGCUAAAAGCAAAUUAAUACAUUUUUAGAAUAUAAUGUUAGAGCUCUUUUUCAUGCCAGUGUACAUAUAUAACUAUUUUUCUCACAUUGCUAAACAUAGCUAUCAUCCAGGAUAAUAAACAUUUCCCUAUAC
Molecule: non-coding RNA, 319 nt
Organism: Biomphalaria pfeifferi
Lineage: Eukaryota; Metazoa; Mollusca; Gastropoda; Planorbidae
Source: the annotation of a GenBank genome assembly